CUCAACUAACCUGGAACCUUGAGACUCUCAGAGACUGAACCACCAACCAAAGAGAAUACAACUGGACCUAUUUCCCUUCCCCCACCCAUAUGUAACAUAUAGGCAGCUCUGUCUUCAUGUGGAUCCCAUUCUGGAGCGGGGGCUAUCUCUAAGCUGUUGCCUGUCUGUGGUCUAUGUUCUUCUAGCUUGGCUGCCUUUUCUGACCUCAGUGGGGAAGGAUGCAUCUAGUUUCCAAAGACUCGACGGUGGUGUGGGGUGGGUGGGUGGGAGGUGGUUCCUAAGGUCCCUUUCAGAGGUGAAUGAGAGUGUGGUGGGGGAGAGAUUGUGGGAGGGAGGCAGUUAUCGAGAUGUAGAGUGGAAAAAAAUUGAGAGAGAAGUUUCUUGAAGCCUCCUAGCAUUGUUCUAUGUUGUGUUCUCUUGAAGACAUUACAUGAAAUGGAGUGGGAGGGCAGAACUGAAAGACUGGGCAAAAGAGAAGCUGAUCUCUAAGCCAAUCCUCUCAAGAGGCCCAGGGGGAGAAGCACAGAUAGAUGGAGUCAUUCACAUUAAUCAAGUACAUUUGUGACUAUGACUGAAGGAGCUGAAGGGGUUUGCAACCCCAUAAGAAGAGCAGCAAUAUCAACCCACCAGACCCCUUCCAGAGUUCUCAGGGACUAAACCACCAACCAAAGAGUGCACAUGGAGUAUGCCACGGCUCCAGCUGCCCGUGUAGCAGAGGAUGGCACUGUCUGGCAUCAAUUGGAAGAGAAGCCCUUGGUCCUGUGAAGGCUCCUUUUCACCAGUGUAGGGGAACGCAGGAUUGCAGGAUUGCUGGAUUAUUGGUUUGAUGUUUUGCUGGUUUGCUGAUUGGAAAUUUUCUGACGUCAGACUGGACUUGCCUUAAAGAAUUUCAUGCCCCAAAUCAUCAAGAGGGAGCGGCUAAAGAUGGCGCCGACAUCCGGUGGUCGUUUGUGAUAAACACCCACAAUGCACAUGUGUUGGCAUUUCUCCGGCAGCUAUCAGGCUGGAGUGAUAUUCAUGCUAAUGAGGCAUUUCAUGCUCCACCAAUCCCUAGAGGACAAGUAUAUAGCCACAGCCUGUUUUGUAUAUAAGGCUAGUGCCUUUGUUCCUCGGGGUCCCCGUAUCAAUAAUGAGGUGUUCCUGCAGUAAAGGCUGUUGAGAAGAAUCCGACCGUGUUGCGUCUUCUUUGCUGGCUGAG
Molecule: non-coding RNA, 1198 nt
Organism: Rattus norvegicus (Norway rat)
Lineage: Eukaryota; Metazoa; Chordata; Mammalia; Rodentia; Muridae
Source: RefSeq, a predicted model, not a curated record